This 73-nucleotide transfer RNA is filed under the name Ovis aries (sheep). It matches the Rfam family "tRNA". From Rfam's summary of the family: Transfer RNA (tRNA) molecules are approximately 80 nucleotides in length. Their secondary structure includes four short double-helical elements and three loops (D, anti-codon, and T loops). The record is from Rfam by way of RNAcentral. Lineage: Eukaryota; Metazoa; Chordata; Mammalia; Artiodactyla; Bovidae.
UCCCUGGUGGUCCAGUGGCUAAGACUCUGCACUCUCAGUGCAGGGGACCCAGGUUCAAUCCCUCAUCAGGAAA